AUGAUCGGGAUAACAGUUGGAAACGGCUGCUAAUACCGGAUACGACUCAAAAUGAACUUUUUGAGGAAAGAUGGCCUCUGCUUGCAUGCUAUCACGUAAGGAUGAGUCCGCGUCCCAUUAGCUUGUUGGCGGGGUAACGGCCACCAAGGCAACGAUGGGUAGCCGAUUUGAGAGGAUGAUCGGCCACACUGGAACUGAAACACGGUCCAGACUCCUACGGGAGGCAGCAGUGGGGAAUAUUGCGCAAUGGGCGAAAGCCUGACGCAGCGACGCCGCGUGAGGGAUGAAGGUUUUCGGAUCGUAAACCUCUGUCAGAAGGGAAGAAACUACGUUGUGCUAAUCAGUCAGCGUACUGACGGUACCUUCAAAGGAAGCACCGGCUAACUCCGUGCCAGCCGCAGC
This 402-nucleotide ribosomal RNA is filed under the name uncultured bacterium. RNAcentral describes it as "bacterial SSU rRNA". It matches the Rfam family "Bacterial small subunit ribosomal RNA", at positions 134 to 518 of the family's 1533-position model. The record is from RNAcentral.